UAGGUUCUCCUCCGGUUCCCAUGUUGCUUCGCAGUGUGGAAAUCCUUUCCACUUCACAUGGAACUCUCUCACCUCGCGUCCUUGUCGCUUGCUCUUGCGCGCAUUGAGGAUGGCCUCGACUUCGUAUUCCUCUUCCCCUUGGAUAACCUCAGGUAAAGGUCUCACUUGGUCCUUGCGAAGCGGAUCCUCAAAGUACGGCUUGAGUAAGUUCAUGUGGAACACUGGGUGCAUCUUCCCCAUCUCUCGAGGAAGUCGGAGUCGG
Molecule: long non-coding RNA, 262 nt
Filed under: Selaginella moellendorffii
Lineage: Eukaryota; Viridiplantae; Streptophyta; Lycopodiopsida; Selaginellales; Selaginellaceae
Description: long non-coding RNA (SMOE_LNC000707)
Source: RNAcentral